UGAGGAAUAUUGGUCAAUGGACGCAAGUCUGAACCAGCCAUGCCGCGUGAAGGAUGAAGGCCUUCUGGGUUGUAAACUUCUUUUAUGGGGGAAGAAACCCUCCCUUUCCAGGGAGGUUGACGGUACCCUAGGAAUAAGCACCGGCUAACUCCGUGCCAGCAGCCGCGGUAAUACGGAGGGUGCAAGCGUUAUCCGGAUUUACUGGGUUUAAAGGGUGUGUAGGCGGGUCUUUAAGUCAGUGGUGAAAUCUCCGGGCUCAACCCGGAAACUGCCAUUGAUACUAUUGGCCUUGAAUUUUGUUGAGGGGGGCGGAAUAAGUCAUGUAGCGGUGAAAUGCAUAGAUAUGACUUAGAACACCGAUAGCGAAGGCAGCUCCCUAAGCAAACAUUGACGCUGAGGCACGAAAGCGUGGGGAUCAAACAGG
This 424-nucleotide ribosomal RNA is filed under the name uncultured bacterium. RNAcentral's name for it is "bacterial SSU rRNA". It matches the Rfam family "Bacterial small subunit ribosomal RNA", at positions 355 to 776 of the family's 1533-position model. The record is from RNAcentral.